Molecule: ribosomal RNA, 472 nt
Filed under: uncultured bacterium
Lineage: Bacteria
Description: bacterial SSU rRNA
Rfam family: Bacterial small subunit ribosomal RNA
Source: RNAcentral
ACUCCUACGGGAGGCAGCAGUGGGGAAUAUUGCACAAUGGGCGCAAGCCUGAUGCAGCCAUGCCGCGUGUGUGAAGAAGGCCUUCGGGUUGUAAAGCACUUUCAGUUGUGAGGAAGGUGGUGUCGUUAAUAGCGGCAUCAUUUGACGUUAGCAACAGAAGAAGCACCGGCUAACUCCGCGCCAGCAGCCGCGGUAAUACGGAGGGUGCGAGCGUUAAUCGGAAUUACUGGGCGUAAAGCGCAUGCAGGUGGUUUGUUAAGUCAGAUGUGAAAGCCCGGGGCUCAACCUCGGAACUGCAUUUGAAACUGGCAGACUAGAGUACUGUAGAGGGGGGUAGAAUUUCAGGUGUAGCGGUGAAAUGCGUAGAGAUCUGAAGGAAUACCGGUGGCAAGGCGGCCCCCUGGACAGAUACUGACACUCAGAUGCGAAAGCGUGGGGAGCAAACAGGAUUAGACACCCUGGUAACACAGAG